RNAcentral lists this ribosomal RNA (497 nucleotides) under uncultured bacterium. Its description in RNAcentral is "partial 16S ribosomal RNA". It matches the Rfam family "Bacterial small subunit ribosomal RNA", at positions 28 to 507 of the family's 1533-position model. The record is from RNAcentral.
GACGAACGCUGGCGGCGUGCCUAAUACAUGCAAGUUGAGCGCUGAAGGUUGGUACUUGUUCCAACUGGAUGAGCAGCGAACGGGUGAGUAACGCGUGGGGAAUCUGCCUUUGAGCGGGGGACAACAUUUGGAAACGAAUGCUAAUACCGCAUAAAAACUUUAAACACAAGUUUUAAGUUUGAAAGAUGCAAUUGCAUCACUCAAAGAUGAUCCCGCGUUGUAUUAGCUAGUUGGUGAGGUAAAGGCUCACCAAGGCGAUGAUACAUAGCCGACCUGAGAGGGUGAUCGGCCACAUUGGGACUGAGACACGGCCCAAACUCCUACGGGAGGCAGCAGGAGGGAAUCUUCGGCAAUGGACGAAAGUCUGACCGAGCAACGCCGCGUGAGGGAAGGAGGUUUUCGGAUCGUAAAACUCUGUUGGUAGAGAAGAACGUUGGUGAGAGUGGAAAGCGCAUCAAGUGACGGUAACUACCCAGAAAGGGACGGCUAACUACGUG